CCAGACUCCUACGGGAGGCAGCAGUGAGGAAUAUUGGUCAAUGGGCGGGAGCCUGAACCAGCCAAGUCGCGUGAGGGAAGACGGUCCUAUGGAUUGUAAACCUCUUUAGGCGGGGAGCAAUGCCGGGCACGCGUGCCCGGAGGGAGAGUACCCGCAGAAUAAGCAUCGGCUAACUCCGUGCCAGCAGCCGCGGUAAUACGGAGGAUGCGAGCGUUAUCCGGAUUUAUUGGGUUUAAAGGGUGCGCAGGCGGCCCGGCAGGCCGGGGGUCAAAUCGCGGGGCUCAACCUCGCUCCGCCGUUGAAACUGGCGUUCUUGAGUGGGCGAGAAGUAUGCGGAAUGCGUGGUGUAGCGGUGAAAUGCAUAGAUAUCACGCAGAACUCCGAUUGCGAAGGCAGCAUACCGGCGCCCAACUGACGCUGAAGCACGAAAGCGUGGGUAUCGAACAGGAUUAGAUACCCUGGUAUU
This 466-nucleotide ribosomal RNA is filed under the name uncultured bacterium. RNAcentral's name for it is "bacterial SSU rRNA". It matches the Rfam family "Bacterial small subunit ribosomal RNA", at positions 331 to 794 of the family's 1533-position model. The record is from RNAcentral.